RNAcentral lists this transfer RNA (83 nucleotides) under Caldifarciminota bacterium. Its description in RNAcentral is "candidate division WOR-3 bacterium tRNA-Tyr". It matches the Rfam family "tRNA". Rfam says of the family: Transfer RNA (tRNA) molecules are approximately 80 nucleotides in length. The record is from RNAcentral. Lineage: Bacteria; Pseudomonadati; Caldifarciminota.
GGACGGGUUCCCGAGUGGCCAAAGGGGGCAGACUGUAAAUCUGCUGGCAUUUGCCUUCGGAGGUUCGAAUCCUUCCCCGUCCA